Molecule: long non-coding RNA, 5700 nt
Organism: Mus musculus (house mouse)
Lineage: Eukaryota; Metazoa; Chordata; Mammalia; Rodentia; Muridae
Product: predicted gene, 33746
Exons: 3
Source: RefSeq, a predicted model, not a curated record
GGAGCCGGGUGCGCGCAGGUCCACUGCAAACAUGCCAUAGGUUCGCAGAGGCGCCAGCUCACCCGCGCUGUCCAGGAACCGCAGGUCGCUGGACGCCGCGGACGCCGACGCCAGGUCACGAGGGUCCACGAAAGUGACACGAGCCUCCACGGGCCCCGUGUAGGGACGGCCGUCAGGGUGGUGGAAGGUCCCGGGCGGCAGGACUAGCUCGCCUAGCGCUGGCGCCUCCUCUGUGCUGCCCAGCGGGAUUUCACCGCCCCGCUCCGCGUCCAACAGCACUGCGGCCGCCUUGCGCAGCGCGCGGAUCUCGUGGUACACACCGGCUCCGCGAGGGUCAAAAGGCAGCACGCGGACGCUGUCUACGAAGUCUCCACUCGGGUCCACGAAAGUCACCACGAGGCGCUCGGUGGCUGGCGGCACCUCGAUGGUGAAGUCGCCCUGGUAGGAGGUGAAGCCGAUGGGUGCGCGGCCCAGCAGUAUCCUGGCGAAACGCAGGGGCUCCCCGGAAUCCGCAGCCACCACGCGGCCCCGUACCAGUCCCCGACGGGGCAGGCACUUGCGACAGCCACACUCGGCCACCACCUUCACCGGGAGCACGUAGCCGGAGCAGCGGAUGUCCCUGCUCUCCAGGCGCAGCACUGAGCAGCAUCGAGAGCCCGCGUCCCCACAGCGAGGGCCUGAGCCCACAGGGCCCGGACAGCGCGUGUCCGCGCACAGACCCACGUCUAGGUACGUGGGGCCGCCUCCGGGUUGGCCGCAAUCGUCCGGAAGCUUGAUCAGGUGUUCCUGAGGUCGGGGGUCACAGGCCUGCUGGCCGGGAGCUGGGGAUUCCACACAACCAGGUCAUGGGAGGAAGGCUGAGGUGGGGAACUUGGGCUGGGCUCGGGUGGGGCAGGACUGGACCACACUCACCGAGUAUCGUGAGGAGGGCUGCGCGGGAUCGCACCGUGCCCGCCUCGUUCCAGGCCUUGCAGUGGUACUCCCCUGCCUGCGCCUGGUGAAGCCCCUGGAGCUCUAGGUGUGGCCCAGACCCCUGCUGGCGUCGGUCCAGGAGAGUCCCGUUGUGGAACCUGAAGAAGGCAGUAAGUGUACAGCAUCAUGGGUAUUUUAGGAAUGGUGGCUGGACUGCAUCUGUCUCUAGGAGGGAAGAGCUGGAGACUGCUUCCUGGAGCCGCCCAGCCUCGUCCUGAGCCUCUGCACUUCUCAGGGGAGACAGAGGGCAGCAUUCACUCCUAGGUUUUUGUUUCGUUGAGACAAGGUCUUCUGCACUUUAGGCUGUAUAGUGAAGGCUGAUUUCGAACCCCCAUCCCCAGCCUCUACAGGCCUGCCCCGCCCACCUGCUCUGCUUGUUCUUCUUUGGUGACAUGGCUACACACACACACACAAUGUAACCAUCACUAGCGACAUGGCUACACACACACACUCAAUGUAACAGUCACUAACUACCUCAAGUUCCAACAGUCCUGCCUCAGCUCAUGAUCUCAGCGCUGGGAUCCUGUGCUUAUCCUUACACCUUAGUGUUAGAAAGCUUUGGAGUACCACCGGGUACCAUCCCAUUCAACCCAAAGCUGGCCGAGCUCCCUGAGUUCGUGUGGACACUCACCAGGAAUAUUUCUUGGGCAUGGGUGUCCCCGAGGCCUUGCAGCAGAAGGUCACAUUCUGACCUGCCUCUCGAACUCGAGACUCAGGGUGCUUUACCAGGUACGGCUUCCCUGAGGGGGUCAGAGUUGGCCAAGCUCAUGACCCUGCUAUACCCCAGGAACCCCUUUUUCGGAUUCUCUCCGGGACAGCCCACCUCAUUCUGUGCUGUCAACAAGUGAGUCACAGCUUGUUUUUUUCCCCUUGGCCUGGAACAUCCUCCUCUGUAACUCACAUGUUCUUGGCUGCGGGGACACUCACCUAACUCUUCAAGGAUGAUGGUGACUGUGGCUGUGUUGGAGCUGUUGGCGUGAGCCUGCGCUGUGCCAGCAGAGAACCCAUUCAUCUGGGCGCUGACACUGGCCUUGCUGCCCGCGCAGACUCCGGGCACUUGGAAGGUUCCAUGGGUACCGCUGGUGGCUAUGGUUCCAGGUCGGGUUCUCAGGGAGACCCUGGCUCCUGACAGCGGUCGCCCAGAUGGGGUGACCACUGAACCCAGGAGGAUGUGGUUGGGGCACCCGCAGGUGUCGGAGCUACACCCUAGGGGGACAUGGAAGCGGCAGGCGCAGAGAGAACUCUUGGGGAGAGCUUUGCACUCAGCUACAAACAUAAGUGACCCUGCCACCCAUCAGUUCCCCACAAGCUUCAGUGUGGCUGGACUUAAGUCAGUCUGGAGACAGGGAUAAGUGGGCAGAGCUGGAGCAAUGUAAGGAAGGUGGGUCCAUAGAUGCAAGGGAGAAGCUCCAAGAGGGGACCAAAGAGGCUGAUUCUUAAGACAGUGAGGACUCAUCAGGCAGGUGUUCCUAGCUGGGGCUGGGAGCAAGGGGCUGUCUUGGACAACAUCUGUCACACUUCCAACGCUGCUGCUUCUCCACAAAGUGGAAAGUUCCAGUGGAAACUUCAGGGCAGAGGCACCGGGUGGGGUCCCCACCAUUGGCGACAUCGUGCCCCAACUAUAUGAGGGCCCUGUUGCAGCUGUCUGCAGAUCAUGUUUGUGGAGCCCAGGCCCAAGUGGAAUUUCCAGUCCCCUCCUGGCUGGCCUGCUGUCUGGCACAGGGAGGGCCUGGGCAUCGUGUCUGCGUGGGCGAGCAGAACAGGCAAAGACUGAAGGCUGAAUGUGGGCACCCAGAGUAUGCACCCAGAGUGAAGGCAGAAGCCUUCACAGGGAUAUCUUAGUGUGCACACUAGGUGAAAUAACUCUUCAGGUCUUCCCAUGCCUGCCCAGCAUCCACCGACCCCCUCUGUAUAGUCUUCUUCCCUAGAGUGUGUAUGGCCUCCACUUCAACUGGUCCAGUCCUCUGGACCCCUUCUUAUGUAAGCUCCACCCCUGGUCAUCCCCUCCUCAGGCCCCAUCCCUCCUACCUGGACAACGGGAUCUCACGCACUUCUGCGCCUCCUGGGGGCUCCCGGGACACGUGUCCCCAGAGGAGCUUUGACAGCUGCGGCGGCGCAGGCGACGACCUAGCCCGCAACUCUUGGAGCAGAGGCCCCACGCUCCCCAAGCGCCCCAAGCCGCCUCUGCAGAGCAAGGUGGGAGAUGAGUUGCAUCUGCCCACCUUGGUCAGCGGGCUUUCUAAACUAUGUGGGUCUUGUUCCCCCGGCAUACACCCUCCCUGACUGCAGGGGCAGACUGCAUGCAGUUCUGCACAGAGCUCACCUGCACACACACACACACACACACACACACACCCCUUCUUGCUAGAUGCGGUCCUAAUUAACCUUGCUGUUCCCCAUCGGACUUCAAUACAAUGAGGCUUAAGGCAUCCCCAACACCGAGCUGUUCAGGAUGGGCCAAUGGGAUCCUGGCAUGUUAGUGCACUAGCUACUACAAUCUGGGCACAGCUCCCUGCAUCCUCACUGUGCUGAUGGGUGUGCCUCUCUAAGCCACGCCCGUGCCCUGCCAUCACUGGGCCUUGCCCCUUAGGGUCGUACUGUACCCGCCCGCCCAGGCCUAUGGGUCCCCCCCUUACCCAGUGGGCAGCGGAAGCGCACGUGGUAGUUGGAGCAGCGGCGGCCUCGAGGCUGCUCACGAUUGAGACACCAAAAGCCACGCUCUGGGUUGGCGUGCACCCUUUCGCCCAUUGCAGCUGGUAGCGCCCAGUCGGUGGUGCGCGCCUCCAGUGCCAGUGGUCUCGGGCACACCCGCGCGGGACCAUAGUAGAAUCGAAUGGCGGCCAGGCUCUCGAAGUCGCCAUCUCCUCCCGGGUGAUCCACGUUGAACCACGACGUCCACUCGCUGGCCUCUGGGGAACAUUGACUACCACAUUUCACGGGAUAUAAAACUGAGGAUCUGAGAGGCCAGCUCUAGCCCCGGGGACUGCAGCAGCACCCACUCCAGGAAGCCUUCCCAUUACUAGCAGCGGACCCUGAAGCCCUGUCACUCCGCAGAUCUGGCGACUCUAUGUCCCACUACACCUCUAGGCUCAAAUGUUCAUCAAACACAAGUCGAGUGUAUUAGGCUCUGCCUCUACCCGCAGACCGCUGCAGUCUCUUCCUGGAAGUCCCCUCCUGCCAUAUACUCUCCCGGGUCUUUCUAGGUGGGACGCAAGGUGCCAACAGCCCCAGCCUUCUGAGAAAUAGGACUGUCACCAGCCCCGCGGAGAGACAGCUACGACCCCUUGGCACAGAUUUGGAAACCUGAUGAUUUACAAUUCAAAGCCUUGGCCAAGUGGACCUUCCUGGGACGACGAUGGAAGAGGUUUCUUUCACCGGCUCUCUGGGACGCUCAUGAGGUGCUCCCCCGCCCGCUUCUGUGCCUGCGGCUGUCGUCCUGGUGUGUUUGUUUGUGUGUGUGUGUGUGUGUGUGUGUGUGUGUGUGUGUGUGUGUAGGGGGUGGUUCCCAAGGUAUCUCACCUCGCGCUCCCGCUAGGUGUAAGGCGGCAAGGCAGAGAUAGAGCAAGGGCAGAGGUGAUGCCAUCGCCAGGUCCGAACUGCUCUGCGAAGCUCUGAGAUCUGACUGUGGCGGGCCUAGCCGCUGCUUGGACCUAAAAGGGCGGAACGGGCCACAAGCCACGCCCCCGCACACCAGACUGGGUCUUCUAAGCCUCCCGCGGUACCUCCGCCCUUAGACUGCCCUUGCCCGGUGUCCUGCGUUCCCCCCUCCUUCUCCAACUGGGUCCCGUGCUGUGUGCCUGGCUCCCUCUGGUCUGAAACUUGAAGCUGCUGGCGCCCUAGGAUGCUGGACGUUCUCUAUAUUGUUAAACUUCGGUCCUAAGUACUGGAGGCCACCCCCCAGCAGGGGUCUGCUCUCCAUUCUAAGAAACUCCACGGCGCAGCUCCUCCCCACAAACCCGGAGGGAAGUCUCCUCUCCACCCGCCCACCCCCUGGCCUGGUACACAAAAGAGGCAGGGGAGAGGUGGUGGAGAUGUUUAUUGGUGCGGUUCACAGUGAGGCCACGCAGUCGGUGCCAGUAUAUUUUGGCAGGUGCAGGCCAAACUUUCGGCGGACGUCAUCAGGCACGAACCUGCCGGCUACAAAGUGGAGACGUCCGGAGAAGCGGCCGGCGCAGCUCUUGGGCGCUGCAAGGGACACCAGCACAUCGGGCUGCACCGCGUCCUUUGCGUCUCCGCCAGCCUCCGCAUCCCAGCCUGAGGGCGGAAGAGGGGGAGCUGAGGACCUCCGGCCCGGGACCAAGUCUGCUCUGCCUCCCUCCACGCACGCGGGUAGCGGUCAGACCUGCUAACCGCAAACCGCCUCCACCCUCCGACUACACCAUUUCCACUGCUAGUCUGCCAAGACCCAGCCUCUGCCUUGAGCCGUGUCUCCUUCCGCAGAGGUUAGGAACCGCGCCUUGCUUAAAUCAGACCUUCCUCACCCACCUCGGGUCUGACCUCAGCCUCUCUACCCCACCCUGUACUGUGACCCGAGACCCCCCUCCUUCUAAACUGUGCCCCCACAUCCCUAUCGUAUUUGAUUUCCCCCUCCGACCUGAGACAUCUUGGUUCUCUGACCCACCUCGUGGUACUUUUGUUAGGACUCUGCCCUCUCCCCAAACCACCAGGAGUUUCGGUUCCACCCAGUCCACGAACCAGCAACCAGGACUUCUCUCCUGCCUCAGGCAC